This 2292-nucleotide ribosomal RNA is filed under the name human metagenome. Its description in RNAcentral is "bacterial LSU rRNA". It matches the Rfam family "Bacterial large subunit ribosomal RNA", at positions 14 to 2364 of the family's 2925-position model. The record is from RNAcentral.
AGAGCAUAGGGUGGAUGCCUUGGCACCAAGAGCCGAUGAAGGACGUGAUAAGCUGCGAAAAGCUGUGAGGAGGAGCAAAUAUCCAUUAUAUUCACAGAUAUCCGAAUGAGGGAACUCAUCUAGUGAAAAAAGACUAGAUAUCCAUACAUGAGUAAAGUAGUGUAUGUGAAGGGAACGUAGGGAACUGAAACAUCUUAGUACCUACAGGAAAAGAAAGAAAACUCGAUUCCUUGAGUAGUGGCGAGCGAAAGAGGAAGAGCCUAAACCAUUGGGAGUAAUCCUGAUGGGGUUAUGGACUACAUAAUUGAUUCUAAAGACUUAGCAGAAUUACUUGGGAAAGUAAACCAGAGAUAGUGAAAGUCUAGUAAGCGAAAAGUCAGAAGACAUGGUAGUAUCCGAAGUAGUGCGGAGCACGUGGAAUUCCGUAUGAACAAGUGGGGACCACCCCAUAAGGCUAAAUACUACUUGGUGACCGAUAGUGAAGCAGUACCGUGAGGGAAAGGUGAAAAGAACCCCGGGAGGGGAGUGAAAGAGAACCUGAAACCCUAUGUUUACAAGCAGUGGGAGCGCAAGCGACCAUGUACUUUUUGUAGAACGGGCCGGCGAGUUACUGUGUGUAGCGAGGUUAAGGUGUAGAGCACCGGAGCCGUAGCGAGAGCGAGUCUCAAAUGGGCGAAUAGUUGCAUACAGUAGACCCGAAACCGGGUGACCUAUCCAUGGACAGGAUGAAGCGGUGGUAAAGCACCGUGGAGGUCCGAACCACACGUAUGUUGAAAAAUGCGGGGAUGAGCUGUGGAUAGCGGAGAAAUUCCAAUCGAACUCGGAGAUAGCUGGUUCUCCCCGAAAUAGCUUUAGGGCUAGCCUCGAUUUAGAUUACCGGGGGUAGAGCACUGAAUGGGCUAGGGGGCCACAAAGCUUACCGAACCCUAUCAAACUUCGAAUACCGGAUAAUUGAUGAUCGGGAGUCAGACAGUGUGAGAUAAGUUUCAUUGUCGAAAGGGAAACAGCCCAGAUCUACGACUAAGGUCCCAAAGUUCAAGUUAAGUGGAAAAGGAUGUGCAAUUGCGUAGACAACCAGGAUGUUGGCUUAGAAGCAGCCAUUCAUUCAAAGAGUGCGUAAUAGCUCACUGGUCGAGUGAAGUUGCGCGGAAAAUUACCGGGGCUAAACUAUACACCGAAAUUGCGGAUUUGUACGUAAGUACAAGUGGUAGAGGAGCAUUCUAUAGUAGGAUGAAGCAUAAUCGAAAGGAUAUGUGGACGAGAUAGAAGAGAGAAUGCCGGAAUAAGUAGCGAAAGCAUGGUGAGAAUCCAUGCCAUCGAAAGUCUAAGGUUUCCUGGGGAAGGUUCGUCCGCCCAGGGUAAGUCGGGACCUAAGGAGAGGCCGAAAGGCGUAUCCGAUGGACAGCAGGUUGAGAUUCCUGCACCACUGAUAUACUUAAAAGAUGCAAGGGACACAGAAGUGGAAGGAAAGCGAGGAAGAGGAAAAACUCGUAUCGAAAGAUAUAGUGAAAAAUAAGUAACGAAUUUCCAAGAAGCACACUGGCGAGAAAAGCUUGUAGAUAUUGUAUAUAAGUGCCCGUACCGCAAACCGACACAGGUAGAUGAGGAGAGGAUCCUAAGAUGAGCGAGAGAAGCAUUGUUAAGGAACUCGGCAAAUUGACCCCGUAACUUAGGGAGAAGGGGUGCCAAGGUAACACUUGGCCGCAGUGAAUAGGCCCAAGCAACUGUUUAACAAAAACACAGGUUUCUGCAAAAUCGAAAGAUGAAGUAUAGGAGCUGACGCCUGCCCAGUGCUGGAAGGUUAAGGGAAAGAGUUAGGAGUAAUCCGAAGCUUAGAACUAAAGCCCCAGUGAACGGCGGCCGUAACUAUAACGGUCCUAAGGUAGCGAAAUUCCUUGUCAGGUAAGUUCUGACCCGCACGAAAGGCGUAAUGAUUUGGGCACUGUCUCGACAAUGUACCCGGCGAAAUUGUAGUACUAGUGAAGAUGCUAGUUACCUGCGACAAGACAGAAAGACCCCAUGGAGCUUUACUGUAGCUUGAUACUGGGUUUUGAUAAUUUAUGUACAGGAUAGGUGGGAUGCAAAGAAACUAGAGCGCCAGCUUUAGCGGAGCAAACCUUGGGAUACCACCCUUAAAUUAUUGAAAUUCUAACCUGUGAUCAUGAACUGGUCAGGGGACAAUGUCAGGUGGGCAGUUUGACUGGGGCGGUCGCCUCCAAAAGAGUAACGGAGGCGCGCAAAGGUUUCCUCAGCGCGGACAGAAAUCGCGCGAAAGAGUGCAAAGGCAGAAGG